UUGAUCCUGGCUCAGGACGAACGCUGGCGGCGUGCUUAACACAUGCAAGUCGAACGGUGAUGUCAGAGCUUGCUCUGGCGGAUCAGUGGCGAACGGGUGAGUAACACGUGAGUAACCUGCCCCCGACUCUGGGAUAACUGCUAGAAAUGGUAGCUAAUACCGGAUAUGACGACUGGCCGCAUGGUCUGGUCGUGGAAAGAAUUUCGGUUGGGGAUGGACUCGCGGCCUAUCAGGUUGUUGGUGAGGUAAAGGCUCACCAAGCCUACGACGGGUAGCCGGCCUGAGAGGGUGACCGGCCACACUGGGACUGAGACACGGCCCAGACUCCUACGGGAGGCAGCAGUGGGGAAUAUUGCACAAUGGGCGAAAGCCUGAUGCAGCAACGCCGCGUGAGGGAUGACGGCCUUCGGGUUGUAAACCUCUUUUAGUAGGGAAGAAGCGAAAGUGACGGUACCUGCAGAAAAAGCACCGGCUAA
This 476-nucleotide ribosomal RNA is filed under the name Clavibacter sp. R1_2_cr. RNAcentral describes it as "bacterial SSU rRNA". It matches the Rfam family "Bacterial small subunit ribosomal RNA", at positions 13 to 500 of the family's 1533-position model. Lineage: Bacteria; Bacillati; Actinomycetota; Actinomycetes; Micrococcales; Microbacteriaceae. The record is from RNAcentral.